CUUUUUUCUUCAUAACUUUAAAACAAAAACAGCGCAUGAAAACCAGUGUCUUAUUCCAAAGUCUCAACUCAGCUGAUUGCCAGGUGAACAUCACCAUCUUACUCCUCUGAAUAACUAGACACAAAUUACAUAGCAAGUUCGAGUUUCUGCCCACCCAAGACACAGCCAGUAAUCAGUCACAAACACAGACACAGCCAACUCCAGGGGCUCCAGCUUUCUGCCCAUCUUCUCUCAGCAGUUCCUCCCAUCUGCUAAGAUGCGCCUUCCUGGUGGCUCUCUCUCAAGGUGGGUCAAGGCUGAACAAGACAGAAAAGCACAGUCUAGGUCCACCAUCACCUCCCACUGGCCACCAGUUGGCCAGCCAGGAAAUCAUUUCUGUACAUCUUUUGUCUCCCCCUUUUAUCUCCCUCUCUCUUCUCCAAAACUUGUUGCUAUCUAUCACUUUCAUGUAACAAUGGACUUAGUGUCCAUUAAACUGCCUGAGAAGUGGUUUGAGCCUGACAUAUUUUCCUGAGCUAAAAAAGGAAAAGUAC
This 533-nucleotide long non-coding RNA is filed under the name Homo sapiens (human). RNAcentral describes it as "LHRI_LNC1827.1". The record is from RNAcentral. Lineage: Eukaryota; Metazoa; Chordata; Mammalia; Primates; Hominidae.